This 253-nucleotide ribosomal RNA is filed under the name uncultured bacterium. RNAcentral describes it as "partial 16S ribosomal RNA". It matches the Rfam family "Bacterial small subunit ribosomal RNA", at positions 524 to 776 of the family's 1533-position model. The record is from RNAcentral.
UACAGAGGGUGCGAGCGUUGUCCGGAAUCACUGGGCGUAAAGGGCGCGUAGGCGGCUCAUGAAGGCUGUGGUGAAAGUCCGGGGCUCAACCUCGGAUCGGCCGUGGCGACUCGUGGGCUGGAGCACUGUAGAGGCGGGUGGAAUUCCGGGUGUAGCGGUGGAAUGCGUGGAGAUCCGGAAGAACACCAGUGGCGAAGGCGGCCCGCUGGGCAGUGGCUGACGCUGAGGCGCGACAGCGUGGGGAGCAAACAGG